UGGGGCGUGGCCAAGUGGUAAGGCACCGGGUUUUGGUCCCGCUAUUCGGAGGUUCGAAUCCUUCCGUCCCAG
This 72-nucleotide transfer RNA is filed under the name Serissa serissoides. Its description in RNAcentral is "tRNA-Gln". It matches the Rfam family "tRNA". Rfam says of the family: Transfer RNA (tRNA) molecules are approximately 80 nucleotides in length. Their secondary structure includes four short double-helical elements and three loops (D, anti-codon, and T loops). Lineage: Eukaryota; Viridiplantae; Streptophyta; Magnoliopsida; Gentianales; Rubiaceae. The record is from RNAcentral. RNAcentral also lists the same sequence under 13 other names.